This 253-nucleotide ribosomal RNA is filed under the name uncultured bacterium. Its description in RNAcentral is "partial 16S ribosomal RNA". It matches the Rfam family "Bacterial small subunit ribosomal RNA", at positions 524 to 776 of the family's 1533-position model. The record is from RNAcentral.
UACGGAGGGCGCGAGCGUUACCCGGAUUUACUGGGCGUAAAGGGCGUGUAGGCGGUCUGGGGCGUCCCAUGUGAAAGACCACGGCUCAACCGUGGGGGAGCGUGGGAUACGCUCAGGCUAGACGGCGGGAGAGGGUGGUGGAAUUCCCGGAGUAGCGGUGAAAUGCGCAGAUACCGGGAGGAACGCCGAUGGCGAAGGCAGCCACCUGGCUCGUUCGUGACGCUGAGGCGCGAAAGCGUGGGGAGCAAACCGG